UUUAGGUAUUCAGCCGCGGAAUAAGGAAAACGGGCUCCCAAAAGACAAUGACUGUGGAUCCCACAUUUAUGUCCAGGUAGAAGAUGACGAUGUGAAGUAAACCCACAGAGUCGUCGCCUGAUGCGUCUGAAUGUUUCCAGCCAAAAAGCAAACUUCCCACUUUAAGACAGUCAUAUUGUUAUAUACAUAUAUACAUAUAUGUGUGUGCAUGUGAAAAAAAAAUCUAAUUUAAAGAUGUGUUGUUUGGAUUUUAGUGCCUGUCAUUCUAAACAGAAAGAAUACUAUCUUUAAAUCUCAUCAUUAUGGUAAAAUUUCAUAUACAUAAAAGUAAAUAUUACAAUAGAACACUUAUGCUUAUUUUCUACAACGAAUUUCAGCAAUACCACCAAACUGCUCAAAUAACUAUAAAGCUAUCAAAAUAAAUAAGUAAAUAAUUUAUUACUUCUGUAACUUAAGCCCCUACAUUGUUCCUCAUUGUUUUUUUACUGACUUUGUGUACUACAGCGGUCUAACGUUGUGUGAUGGUGCACUGUACUGCGUCACACGCUGUAACUACUAACCAGGCUUAAAAAACAAGGGAGGUCAACAUCAUCUGUUAAGAGCCGAACGCAGCCUCGAAUGUCGGAUGCCGUUUUUGGCCCGCCCCAAAUACGAAGGACACAUCCAUAGAUACAAUCUAACCAGUGCCGUGUACGAAUGAAUCCCAUGGUUCACUGAGCCGCAAGUGUGUUCUUGGGAGGAAUCGUAGAUAUGUAUGAGGAUAUUAAUGUUAGAUAUAAGCUAUAUUUAUGUCUGUGUGCGCACGGGCGCUAUAUAAAAUAUGUAAAACCCGAUCUUACUAACCGCACGAUCAUCAAGUGGGGGAGGCGAAUUUAUAGCUGACCUCAGUAAAGCCGGUUUAAAAAUACAAAAAAUAUCCGUGCAAUAUUGUUUUAAUCAUAUUUAUUCUACAUGAGGUUACUUUUACUUCAUAAAAUAAGUUUAUACAUACUUCUCAAACAUGACUUUAUAUUCGCGAGAAUACAGUGUAUUUUUUUUAUCACAAGGACUUAUUGAAGCGGCUCAAAGACGUCCUAUUGUUUGCGUCAACGGGUGAUUUCUAAAAAUUCCUUCUUUAAAAUGGCCUGGAUGGUGACAUAUAUUAUAUAUGGGACUUUUGUCUUCUUGUCCCUGAUGGUUGCUGGAAAAAAGUGUGGCCCCGCAGAGUACGAAAGUCACGAUGGUGAAUGCUGCCCCAUGUGCGGAAUAGGCAUGAUUGUGUUGAGAGACUGUACAUCAGAUUCAAGCACAACCUGCAGACCAUGUGUUGACCAGACAUAUAUGGAUGAACCCAAUGGUUUGAAACGCUGCUCUCAGUGCAAAAUUUGUGAUUCAGGCCAAGGGCUUCAUGUCCUCAGAAAAUGUACCACAAUUACCAACACUGUCUGUGAUGUUCUGGAUGGAUUUUAUUGUGUAGCAUAUUCAGGAGAUAAUGAAUGCAGUUAUGCAUCAGAACAUAAGUCUUGUCUCCCUGGUCAGGAAAUAAAAACACCAGGAUCAAAGACGAGAGAUGUGGAGUGUGAGGGCUGUUCACACGGCUAUUACUCAACAGACGGCGUACAUUGCACACCAUGGACAAGCUGUAACAUUGAUGAGGAGAAGAUUGAAGAUGGAACCAAACAGAAAGAUGUUGUUUGCCAGGAAUUAACCUUGAGACACAGAUAUUUAAUAUGUUUUGCCUUCACAUUAUUUCUGAUUGCUUUAAUUGGACUAUUUCUGUUACUUUAUGCAAAAGAUAAUCGCAGACGAUUGAAUGUUCCAGUACAAGAAUCCGACAGAGUCGAUGACAGCCAGAACGCGAUCCCGGAUGGGCUCCCCCUUUGAGUCUGGUCCCUCCCAAGGUUUCUUCCUUCUAGGGAGUUUUUCCUUGCCACUGUCGCCUAUGGCUUACUCACUGGGGGCUUUGGGAGGCCAAGUGAUGUAGGCAUUGAUGUUUUCCAUUCUAAUUACAGAAGUUGGAAGGUACCAGUAAAACAGUUAACCUACCAACAUGAUCAUCAAGAGGCAGGCGUCAAACCAGUCCAGUGCGGUGGCUGUGAUUCUUAACUGAAGUAGCCAACUACUUAUCUAGAAUUACUCUAUGAAAAUGGAUACUCUGGAUAAAAGUGUUAGCUAAAAGACAAUAUGUGACAUACAUCUGCCUGAUCUGGGCACCUACACUGGGGAUUGACAGGACUGUAGACAGCCAGUACAGGCCAGAGAAGAACAGAAGAUAUGGAGGUAGAUUUAUGCAUAACUCAUAGUUUGGUUUACAGAAUGGCCUGGUUCAUGUUGUAUAGAUAUUGCAUGAUGUGUGGUAUCUGCAGCACGACCCCUAAAAUCGCCCCCCAUGCGAAGGAGCUCGAUGGCAUCAGCCAGCCAAUGGUUAACAGUAACAUGUUAAGCAUUAAGUGGUCAAUCUUGUGAAUGACACUAAAACAUCCAUCUAUCGUCUGUUUAUCCUGCUCUGUUUUUUUCAUGCACAUAUCUUGGAAGGUUGAUACUUAUACCAACUGUAUAUAACACUGCAUACAGUAGAAUUUUGGGUUUAGGAAUAUUUUUGUACCAUACUAAAUGACCAUGUCUGGACCAUUUUUUUAAUGUAAAAAGACAUUACUAAGUGAUUUAUGCCAAACAAUAUUUUUGUACCAUACUUGUUAGAGUGUAUCUGUGUAUUUUAUCAUAUUAUUAUCCUCCUAUAUGUGUACGUGCAACCCUUAACAACUAACCCAUGGCCCAGAAAGGGUUGCAGACAAGAUGUCCUCACAGGGGCCUACCAGAUUGUGACGCAGGAAUAAGAGACCUUGACAAAGGAAACAGAUUCUGUCAACAUAGCAGGGGGCCCACCUUGAGAAAUGUAAUGCUUUGUAUUAACCCUGUUUCACGGAGGCCUCACACAGCAUUGACUAGUUUAAAGACAAGACCCAUGUAACCCCUCCCCUACCCUAUAAAUAAAGAAGCCAAGGGACUGUCCGGUGUGACACUCAACAGAGGCGCAGAUACUGUCUGUUGCACCUGAAGUGGGCACCCUUGCGCAAGUAAAACAGAAA
Molecule: RNA transcript, 3068 nt
Organism: Brienomyrus brachyistius
Lineage: Eukaryota; Metazoa; Chordata; Actinopteri; Osteoglossiformes; Mormyridae
Gene name: tumor necrosis factor receptor superfamily member 14-like
Exons: 13
Source: RefSeq, a predicted model, not a curated record